Molecule: ribosomal RNA, 776 nt
Filed under: uncultured Neocallimastigales
Lineage: Eukaryota; Fungi; Neocallimastigomycota; Neocallimastigomycetes; Neocallimastigales
Description: partial large subunit ribosomal RNA
Rfam family: Eukaryotic large subunit ribosomal RNA
Source: RNAcentral
AGAGAUGUGUGAUGACGCAUAUCAAUAAGCGGAGGAAAAGAAACUAACAAGGAUUCCCUUAGUAACGGCGAGUGAAGCGGGAAGAACUCAAAUUUGAAAUCUUCAAGGUUCUACCUUGACGAAUUGUAGUUUAUAGAAGUGUUUUCUGUUAGUGGAGUGGCAAAAGUUCUUUGGAAUAGGACAUCAUAGAGGGUGAGAAUCCCGUAUUUGGUCAUUCCUCCUAGCGUUGUGAUACACUUUCAACGAGUCGGAUUGUUUGGGAAUGCAGUCCAAAAUGGGUGGUAAAUUUCAUCUAAAGCUAAAUAUUGGCGAGAGACCGAUAGCGAACAAGUACCGUGAGGGAAAGAUGAAAAGAACUUUGAAAAGAGAGUUAAACAGUACGUGAAAUUAUCAAAAGGGAGGCGUUUGACACCAGUGUUGUUUUUCCGAAAAUCAAUUACGAAUGUUUUGUUUUUAAGGAGUUAUGACUUCAUCGGCUUGCUUCUUUCUUUACGAAACUUUCUUAAUGCACUUUUCGGUUAACAAGUCAACAUCAAUUUCUUUUGCUGUAAAAGGGUAUGAGGAAGGUGGCUUUAUUUCGGUAGAAAGUGUUUAUAGCCUUGUAGCCUCUGCAAGUCGGAGAGAUUGAGGUCUGCAGCGUAGAUCCUUCGGGGCUAGAUACGUUUGUGCUAAGUUAUAGCUUUUCAUAGACAACUUGUUGACUAUGUUUAGUCUUGUAGCUUACUCGCUGACGCUAUUUUACCUACGCUUAGGAUGUUGAACUCUAUCACACACAG